CCUACGGGAGGCUGCAGUGAGGAAUAUUGGUCAAUGGCCGGAAGGCUGAACCAGCCAAGCCGCGUGAAGGACGAAGGUUCCAAGCAUUGUAAACUUCUUUUGUCAAGGGACAAAAUCAGGCUCGAGAGCCUGACCGCGGGUACUUGAAGAAAAAGCAUCGGCUAACUCCGUGCCAGCAGCCGCGGUAAUACGGGGGAUGCGAGCGUUAUCCGGAUUUAUUGGGUUUAAAGGGUGCGUAGGCGGACUGUUAAGUCAGCGGUAAAAGCCCGGGGCUCAACCCCGGAGAGCCGUUGAAACUGGCUGGCGUGAGAGUGCGAGAGGUAUGCGGAAGGCGUAGUGUAGCGGUGAAAUGCAUAGAUAUUGCGCAGAACUCCGAUUGCGAAGGCAGCAUACUGGGGGCGAUCUGACGCUGAGGCACGAAAGCGUGGGGAUCGAACAGGAUUAGAUACCCGGGUAGUC
Molecule: ribosomal RNA, 459 nt
Filed under: uncultured bacterium
Lineage: Bacteria
Description: partial 16S ribosomal RNA
Rfam family: Bacterial small subunit ribosomal RNA
Source: RNAcentral